UGGGGGCCCAGGGUCCCCGGAGCCCCGCAGGGAAGGAGCUGGUUUGUCAACAGCAGCCUCCGAUUGCCCUAUUCCUGCGGAAGAUAAAAUGGGCUUGUUCAGAAAAGAAGAAGGCGUGGGGAGAGAGAAACCACCCAGCAUGAAAACCCCUGGAAAGCUGCUCCUGCUGCUUCUGGGAAUGGCAGGGGAGCCUUAUCUGGCCUUGCACACAAGGCAGGAGAGCCCGAGCCUUGUGGAGUGCAAUAAGGAACACAGAGCCUAAUGGAAAAAUCAGUUGCUUGUAGCAUUUAAUUAAACAUGUAAAUUUAUGAACGGCCCUGAAAUCACCAAACUGAAA
Molecule: long non-coding RNA, 337 nt
Organism: Taeniopygia guttata (zebra finch)
Lineage: Eukaryota; Metazoa; Chordata; Aves; Passeriformes; Estrildidae
Source: RefSeq, a predicted model, not a curated record